Molecule: ribosomal RNA, 657 nt
Filed under: Albinaria puella puella
Lineage: Eukaryota; Metazoa; Mollusca; Gastropoda; Stylommatophora; Clausiliidae
Description: partial 12S ribosomal RNA
Source: RNAcentral
AUCACUUUAAUUUGAUGGGUAUCGUAGGCAAUAAAUAUAUUUAAAUAUGGAUUUUAAUGAGAGUGGUCCAGUUUAAGAUAUUAAAUAAUAUAAGAAAUUAUAAUUUAGAUAGUUUAUUAAUUUAGGUUUAUUAGGUGCCAGCAACCGCGGUCAAACCUAAUAAGUAAGCUUACAAGCUUAAUAAAUAAUAAAAUAAACUUUAAAGUUAUAUAAUAGAUAGUGAAAUAUUAUUAUGUGUAUUAAUCCUAAAAAGAAAUUAGUCUAAACAAAGGCAAAUCUAAAACUAGGAUUAGAGACCCUACUAUUAUGCUCUUAACAUAUUAUUUAUUAAGGAGUAAAACUAUAAAGUUUAAACUUAAAAAUUAUGGCGGCUAAAUAAAUCAUUUAGGGGAACUUACCAUAUAAUUGAUAACCACCAAGCAUAAUCAUACUUGCUUUCUAUAAUUUGUAUACCGUUGUCUUCAUGAACCCUUUCGAAAGGGUUCAUGUAUAUUAAGUAAAUAGUUAAGAUAAAUCAAGGUGCAGUCUAUUAGCAAGAACUAAGGUGAGUUACAUUAAAAAAUAUUUUCGGAAUACUUAAUGAAAAAUUAUAUAAAGAUGGACUUAAAAGUAACAUACAAGGAUAAAUAAAAUGUGAAUUUCAUUUUAUUUGGUGUA